GUCUUCGUGGCGCAGUUGGCUAGCGCGUCAGUCUCAUAUCUGAUCGAUAUGAUCCGGCUUUGGCCCGGGCUAUCUGAAGGUCGUGAGUUCGAGCCUCACCGAGGACA
RNAcentral lists this transfer RNA (107 nucleotides) under Trichoderma longibrachiatum. RNAcentral describes it as "tRNA-Met". It matches the Rfam family "tRNA". From Rfam's summary of the family: Transfer RNA (tRNA) molecules are approximately 80 nucleotides in length. Their secondary structure includes four short double-helical elements and three loops (D, anti-codon, and T loops). The record is from RNAcentral. RNAcentral also lists the same sequence under 1 other name. Lineage: Eukaryota; Fungi; Ascomycota; Sordariomycetes; Hypocreales; Hypocreaceae.